UGCCCUAGUAACGGCGAGUGAAGCGGCAACAGCUCAAAUUUGAAAUCUGGCCCCUUUGGGGUCCGAGUUGUAAUUUGCAGAGGGUGCUUUGGCGUUGGCGGCGGUCUAAGUUCCUUGGAACAGGACAUCGCAGAGGGUGAGAAUCCCGUAUGUGGUCGCAUGCCUUCGCCGUGUAAAGCCCCUUCGACGAGUCGAGUUGUUUGGGAAUGCAGCUCUAAAUGGGAGGUAAAUUUCUUCUAAAGCUAAAUACCGGCCAGAGACCGAUAGCGCACAAGUAGAGUGAUCGAAAGAUGAAAAGCACUUUGGAAAGAGAGUCAAACAGCACGUGAAAUUGUUGAAAGGGAAGCGCUUGCAGCCAGACUUGCCUGUAGUUGCUCACCCGGGCUCCUGCCCGGGGCACUCUUCUGCAGGCAGGCCAGCAUCAGUUUGGGCGGUCGGAUAAAGGGCUCUGACACGUACUUCCCCUCGGGGUUGACAUACAGGGGAGCCGCAAUGCGACCAGCCCGGACUGAGGUCCGCGCAUCUGCUAGGAUGCUGGCGUAAUGGCUGUAAGCGGCCCGUCUUGAAACACGGACCAAGGAGUCUAACAUCUAUGCGAGUGUUUGGGUGUCAAGCCCGAGCGCGUAAUGAAAGUGAACGGAGGUGGGAGCCCCUCGGGGUGCACCAUCGACCGAUCCUGAUGUCUUCGGAUGGAUUUGAGUAAGAGCAUAGCUGUUGGGACCCGAAAGAUGGUGAACUAUGCUUG
RNAcentral lists this ribosomal RNA (745 nucleotides) under Periconia sp. RNAcentral describes it as "partial large subunit ribosomal RNA". It matches the Rfam family "Eukaryotic large subunit ribosomal RNA", at positions 76 to 839 of the family's 3401-position model. The record is from RNAcentral. Lineage: Eukaryota; Fungi; Ascomycota; Dothideomycetes; Pleosporales; Periconiaceae.